RNAcentral lists this ribosomal RNA (517 nucleotides) under uncultured Staphylococcus sp. RNAcentral describes it as "bacterial SSU rRNA". It matches the Rfam family "Bacterial small subunit ribosomal RNA", at positions 8 to 507 of the family's 1533-position model. The record is from RNAcentral. Lineage: Bacteria; Bacillati; Bacillota; Bacilli; Caryophanales; Staphylococcaceae.
AGAGUUUGAUCCUGGCUCAGGAUGAACGCUGCGGCGUGCCUAAUACAUGCAAGUCGAGCGAACAGAUGAGAAGCUUGCUUCUCUGAUGUUAGCGGCGGACGGGUGAGUAACACGUGGGUAACCUACCUAUAAGACUGGGAUAACUCCGGGAAACCGGGGCUAAUACCGGAUAAUAUAUUGAACCGCAUGGUUCAAUGUUGAAAGACGGUUUCGGCUGUCACUUAUAGAUGGACCCGCGCCGUAUUAGCUAGUUGGUAAGGUAACGGCUUACCAAGGCAACGAUACGUAGCCGACCUGAGAGGGUGAUCGGCCACACUGGAACUGAGACACGGUCCAGACUCCUACGGGAGGCAGCAGUAGGGAAUCUUCCGCAAUGGGCGAAAGCCUGACGGAGCAACGCCGCGUGAGUGAUGAAGGUCUUAGGACCGUAAAACUCUGUUGUUAGGGAAGAACAAAUUUGUUAGUAACUGAACAAGUCUUGACGGUACCUAACCAGAAAGCCACGGCUAACUACGUG